Molecule: ribosomal RNA, 425 nt
Filed under: uncultured bacterium
Lineage: Bacteria
Description: bacterial SSU rRNA
Rfam family: Bacterial small subunit ribosomal RNA
Source: RNAcentral
GAAUAUUGCGCAAUGGGCGAAAGCCUGACGCAGCCAUGCCGCGUGUGUGAAGAAGGCCCUAGGGUUGUAAAGCACUUUCAGUCGGGAGGAAAGGUAAUCGGUUAAUACCCGGUUGCUGUGACGUUACCGACAGAAGAAGCACCGGCUAACUCCGUGCCAGCAGCCGCGGUAAUACGGAGGGUGCGAGCGUUAAUCGGAAUGACUGGGCGUAAAGCGCGCGUAGGUGGUUUGUUAAGUUGGGUGUGAAAGCCCAGGGCUCAACCUUGGAAUUGCAUCCAAAACUGACAGGCUAGAGUACAGUAGAGGGGGGUAGAAUUUCCGGUGUAGCGGUGAAAUGCGUAGAGAUCGGAAGGAAUACCAGUGGCGAAGGCGGCCCCCUGGACUGAUACUGACACUGAGGUGCGAAAGCGUGGGUAGCGAACAGG